RNA transcript from Ipomoea nil (Japanese morning glory), 1566 nucleotides. It is a transcript of the gene named 1-aminocyclopropane-1-carboxylate oxidase homolog 1-like, with no coding region annotated. The transcript is spliced from 5 exons. NCBI's taxonomy places the organism in Eukaryota, Viridiplantae, Streptophyta, Magnoliopsida, Solanales, Convolvulaceae. The record is from RefSeq and is a predicted model, not a curated record.
UUAUGAGGCAUUGAAUCAAACUUAAAUUUCCACAAAUAGCACCUUUAUUGAGGCUAUUUAACAGUUAAUCUUGCCAGCUUCCCACUCGUACAAGUAAUUUCAGACUUCGCCCAUCAUUUCCUUCAAGAUUUCAGCUCUGAACUCCAUUAGGGUUCGCCAUUCGAGUAAACAAAGAGGUCGUUAUUUCAGUCUUCACAGAGUAGCAUUCCAUUGAGAAGAAAAUGGUAGCCACAAGCAAUGGAAAUCUUCAAGAAGAUUGCAUGCCUGAAUAUGAUAGGAGAAAUGAAGUUCAAGCUUUUGAAGAUUCAAAAGCCGGUGUAAAGGGCCUCUUUGAUGCUGGGCUGACAAAGAUCCCACGGAUAUUUCUUAACAAACAGUCCAUCCUGGAAAAGAACUCAGCUGGUGCUACACCUCAAUUCGUUAUUCCAGUCAUAGACUUUGAAGGCUUGGGCAGUAGUGUUGCUAGGCGAGUUGAAAUUGUUAACAUGAUUAGGGAUGCCUGUGAAAGCUGGGGUUUUUUCCAGGUGAUCAACCAUGGUAUUCCGGAUGAUGUCAUGGACAAAAUGCUCGAAAGUGUGCAGCAUUUUCAUGAGCAAGACUUUGAGUUGAAGAAACCUUUCCAUUCACGUGAUGUCAAGAAGAAGGUCACAUACAAUAGCAAUUUUGAUUUGCUCGUGGCACCAACAGCCAAUUGGCGGGACAGUCUUUACUGUAUCAUGGCUCCAGAUCCCCCUGAACCUGAAGAAUUACCCAAUGUCUGCAGGGAUAUCAUGAUCAAAUAUGCAGAACAUGUCAUGAGUUUGGGUUAUACACUGUUUGAAUUGCUAUCAGAAGCUCUUGGGCUUGAUCUAGAUCACUUGAAAGGAAUGGAUUGUGCAGAGGGGCUUUACAUUAUUGGCCAUUAUUAUCCUCCAUGCCCUGAACCGGAUUUGACUUUAGGCCUUAGCAGCCACACUGAUAGUGGCUUCCUCACUCUUCUUUUACAAGAUCAACUGGGUGGCCUCCAAGUUCUGCAUGAAGAUGUGUGGGUCGAUGUUCCUUUCUUUCCCGGAUCAUUGAUAGUAAACAUUGGAGAUAUGUUACAGCUUCUCACGAACGAUAAGUUCAAAAGUGUUCAUCACAGAGUGCUAGCAAAGCCGGUAGGUCCCAGAAUUUCGGUGGCUAGUUUUUUCAGAAUGCAUUUUCAGGAAGGCAAUGGCACAAAAACUUAUGGUCCAAUAAAGGAGUUGUUAUCAGAAGAAAAGCCUGCAAUCUACCGGGAGACCAGCAGGAAUGAGGUUACAAUGGUUAGGUACAACAAAGGGCUUGAUGGAAGUACUUUGCUAUCUCAUUUCAAGUUGCAAAACUAGUGGAUAGAUAUAAAAUCCCCUGUUGAAUAAGAAGGAAACCUUGAGUUUGUGGUCACAGGUGAAAUGUUCUAGCAUAAAUUUUCUCACAGAGAUUACCACUGCUGCUGGUUUGUGUAUCAGCAUGUGAUAAAUAAGGUAAUUGUUUAUAAAUGGAAUAUUUGUAGUCUGUAUGAUUAUCAUAAAAGGAGAAUAUUUAAGCAAAUCACUCUUGUUUUCA